Molecule: ribosomal RNA, 501 nt
Filed under: uncultured bacterium
Lineage: Bacteria
Description: partial 16S ribosomal RNA
Rfam family: Bacterial small subunit ribosomal RNA
Source: RNAcentral
AUUGAACGCUGGCGGCAGGCUUAACACAUGCAAGUCGAGCGGGGGAAGGUAGCUUGCUACUGGACCUAGCGGCGGACGGGUGAGUAAUGCUUAGGAAUCUGCCUAUUAGUGGGGGACAACAUUCCGAAAGGAAUGCUAAUACCGCAUACGUCCUACGGGAGAAAGCAGGGGAUCUUCGGACCUUGCGCUAAUAGAUGAGCCUAAGUCGGAUUAGCUAGUUGGUGGGGUAAAGGCCUACCAAGGCGACGAUCUGUAGCGGGUCUGAGAGGAUGAUCCGCCACACUGGGACUGAGACACGGCCCAGACUCCUACGGGAGGCAGCAGUGGGGAAUAUUGGACAAUGGGGGGAACCCUGAUCCAGCCAUGCCGCGUGUGUGAAGAAGGCCUUAUGGUUGUAAAGCACUUUAAGCGAGGAGGAGGCUACUGAGACUAAUACUCUUGGAUAGUGGACGUUACUCGCAGAAUAAGCACCGGCUAACUCUGUGCCAGCAGCCGCGGUAA